GGGAUUUUAGUAUAAUGGUCAAUACAUAUGACUUUUAAUCAUAAAGAUAUCGGUUCGAAUCCCAUAGAUCCUA
This 73-nucleotide transfer RNA is filed under the name Colletotrichum trifolii. It matches the Rfam family "tRNA". From Rfam's summary of the family: Transfer RNA (tRNA) molecules are approximately 80 nucleotides in length. Their secondary structure includes four short double-helical elements and three loops (D, anti-codon, and T loops). RNAcentral also lists the same sequence under 2 other names. Lineage: Eukaryota; Fungi; Ascomycota; Sordariomycetes; Glomerellales; Glomerellaceae. The record is from Rfam by way of RNAcentral.